UUAUCAAAGCACAGAUCCGGGAAUACAUUUAUAUAUAUAGAAAGUAAUGAUUUUUCACAGGAUGAAUACCCUUGUAUUGACCUUGAAGCACACAUAGCAUAAUAUGAUAGUCUGGCAACAGUUUGAAUAUCACAAAUUCACAACUCACAAGCUCUAAUGUUCAAAUCAAUCACAACGAGUUCAGAUUUUUUUAGCUAAUUAAGGUUUCCUUGCAACACUGAAAGGAAUACCUGUAGUUAUCAUCCUCAUCCUCUCAUCUCCAAGAGUCACACGAGUAGUAGCCAACUAUUAGACUGCAUUUCUGUCCAUCCCAUUAGCAGAUAGAGCCUCUGUUCUUGACGUACUGCUCGAGCGCGAGCUCCAACCGAGGCACUUCUUGCUGGAUAGAAGUACUACAACAAGUCAUGGCUGAUCUUCUUAUGAACAAAAGUAAAAAAAUCAACUAACGACAGCACCGAUUAUGGAUGAGUGGAGAGGGUGAGGAGAGGAAAAUGAACAAUAACUCCCGAGCGAUGGGAAGCACCAGCAGUCAACGGCCAGAUCCCCUUCAAAUCAACCGACAAAUACAGAUCGAAGGAGGCCCAUGGUGUGGCGGCGGCGAUACAGCGCAUGGGUGACGACUGAGGGUCUCACAGCAGUCUCCCAGGUAACCCACAUCUCUCCCAUCCCUGGAUCUGAGAGGAGCGAUGGCGUACACCAUAGGGCCUUGGCGGAUGAAGAUGACACGGCACAAGCUAGGGUGGCUAGCGUUGGGCUGCAGGAGCAUGAAUGGGACAAGGCCACAACCGUUCGGGCCAAUAGCGGCCGACGGGAGAGGGAGCGAGUGAGGGUGCGCCGGCAGCAGAGCUAGCGAGUGAGAGGAUAAGGUUUGGGGAAUUAGGAUCUGGGAGAGCUGAAUGGAAAAAAC
Molecule: long non-coding RNA, 907 nt
Filed under: Hordeum vulgare
Lineage: Eukaryota; Viridiplantae; Streptophyta; Magnoliopsida; Poales; Poaceae
Description: long non-coding RNA (HVUL_LNC001224)
Source: RNAcentral